GAUGAAGAACGCAGCGAAAUGCGAUAAGUAAUGUGAAUUGCAGAAUUCAGUGAAUCAUCGAAUCUUUGAACGCACAUUGCGCCCCUUGGUAUUCCGAGGGGCAUGCCUGCUCGAGCGUCAUUAUAACCCCUCAAGCUCAGCUUGGUGUUGGGGCCUGCCGCACGGGCAGCCCUUAAAAUCAGUGGCGGUGCCAUCUGGCUCUAAGCGUAGUAAUUCUUCUCGCUAUAGAGUCCCGGUGGAUGCUUGCCAUUAACCCCCAAUUUUCUAUGGUUGACCUCGGAUCAGGUAGGGAUACCCGCUGAACUUAAGCAUAUCAAUAAGCGGAGGA
Molecule: unclassified non-coding RNA, 328 nt
Filed under: soil metagenome
Description: partial contains 5.8S ribosomal RNA, internal transcribed spacer 2, and large subunit ribosomal RNA
Rfam family: 5.8S ribosomal RNA (bases 1-120)
Source: RNAcentral